Molecule: ribosomal RNA, 301 nt
Filed under: uncultured bacterium
Lineage: Bacteria
Description: partial 16S ribosomal RNA
Rfam family: Bacterial small subunit ribosomal RNA
Source: RNAcentral
CAGCCGCCGCGGGAAUACGUAGGUGGCAAGCGUUGUCCGGAAUUAUUGGGCGUAAAGGGCUCGCAGGCGGUUUCUUAAGUCUGAUGUGAAAGCCCCCGGCUCAACCGGGGAGGGUCAUUGGAAACUGGGAAACUUGAGUGCAGAAGAGGAGAGCGGAAUUCCACGUGUAGCGGUGAAAUGCGUAGAGAUGUGGAGGAGCACCAGUGGCGAAGGCGACUCUCUGGUCUGUAACUGACGCUGAGGAGCGAAAGCGUGGGGAGCGAACAGGAUUAGAUACCCGAGUAGUCCCUGUCUCUUAUAC